CGCUAUCGCUAUUUCCUUGUAGGUCCAAAAUGGAGACGUUUAUAUCAACGUCAUGGCCUGGAAGGGGACCAACAUUCUCUCACAUUCUGGGCUUUCCGGAAGGUGCGACCUGAAAGCCUUUGCUUUGUCAUCACUUGGAGAAGGUUGCCUGCCAGGUAAUCACGAAAGGACAAGCAGAAGUCGUAGUUAGAUAUGGGAUAUUGCAGCAUGCCAGCAUGAAAGGGUGUACUAAAUCAAUGACAUUUGUUUAGGUUGGAUAAGCAAUAGGAAUGAUGGUUCAGGAAAUUGCUUUUGGUUUCAUCAAUUAAUGUUCCUAUUUCCCCAGUUUCUGCUUCAUAAUGCAGACUAGUGUACUGAUAAUCAGAACUCCUUGCUAGCUUAAAAAGUUCAAUCUUUUCAUUCAUUAAAUUGUCCCUAUAGCUUUCCAGUGCUAAGGCAAAUUAAGAAAGAAUCUCACGAAACAUAUAUGCAGAAAUUGCAAUGAAUAGUUUACUGUAGCACGUAAGAGAUGAAAGCCAACAUUACCCAAUCUCAUGAAACAUAUAUGCAGAUAAUUAGUUUACUGUAGCAUGUAAGAGAUCAAAGCCAACAUUACCCAAUAAGGGUAUUGCUGCAAACAGCUCAAGGUUGCAUAAAAUUCUGUAAAGUGAUCACCUUUAAAGUAUUCUAGACUAAUUUUGUAUGGAUAUGUGCUGAUAAUAUUAGAAGAAAAAGAGGGAUAAAAUGUCAAAUGUCAAAAUGAAAGAUAACCUGAGAGUAACUAGACAUUCACAUACUGGAAUUUAAGACAAAUCGGAGCAGGCUCUGGAUCCGACCCGCGCGAGGAUCUAGUCCUUUUAGACGAUUUUCUGGUCCGAUGUGGAUGCUCCAGCUCGAGUACACGGCAAUCGACAGAGAGGGAGGGAGGGAGAAGAAGAGGAAGAAGAAAAGGGCGCGCUUUGCUCGAGCAUCUUGGCGCAAUCUGUUCAAACACGUGUGAUUUAUUUUGUUUUUGGAACCACACGUGAGAACGUAUAAAAUGAAGAAGUGUUUCUCUGAGGAAAAAAAAAGGCAAAAAAAAUAUGAGAAUCCAAUAAUACCCCCUUCUCUAACUGGUUCUGUAACCGGUAACGCAGCAGGAUAAAAACGACAUUAG
This 1135-nucleotide long non-coding RNA is filed under the name Prunus persica (peach). RNAcentral's name for it is "long non-coding RNA (PPER_LNC007507)". The record is from RNAcentral. Lineage: Eukaryota; Viridiplantae; Streptophyta; Magnoliopsida; Rosales; Rosaceae.